CUUGGCUGCACCUCCCUACAGAAGUAUGUGGCUGCUUUGAUCAGAACUCUAUUGUAGAGCUUGUAGAGAACACAGCAACAGAGCAAGUGUUUACUCUAAAUUGAGUAAAUUGGCUAAUGUUAGCCAAAGGGCCGCUGUUGAUUCUGCUGACUGUAGAGGCUCCUACUCAUUCUGGAGGGCACGCUAAAAUUUGCAUCCAUUUGAACUUCAAAGAAGAGACUCUUCUUCAGUGGACUUCUUAACCACCAGAUCUGAAUCCAACCGAGCACCUUUGGGAUGUGGUACAACGGGAGAUUCACGGUUUGAAUGUGCAGCUGACAAAUCUGUAGCGGUUAUACUGUAUGAUGCAAUCAUGUCAACAUGGACCAGAAUCUCAAAGGAAUAUUUCCAACAUCUUCUGGAUUCCAGGCCAUGACGAAGACUGUUCUGAGAGCAAGGGGAGUCAUAUUGAAUACGGUAUCACUGCAUUUCACUUAACAUUUGUCUCAUGUAUUGAAGGGGGGGGGGGGAAACUACCCAUGUCAUGCCCCUCCAUAAAUGUGGAGACCCAGCUGAUGUAACAAAUUAUUAUAAGCUCAUUUCUAAGCUCCUACACACAGCUAAAAUAUUAGUCUUUAGUUCAUUCACAAUAACCUGCUGUCAUCAACAACAGUAUAUCAACAUUCUUCAGCCUCAGCAGUCAGGGUUCAGGCCAGAACACAGCUCUCUCACAGCUGCCCCCUGCUGCACUCUUUGUUGAUCUCUAAAAAUCAUUCGAAACUGUCGACCAUGAUAUCUUAAUGAACAGAACUGUCUCAUUUGGGUUUGGAACAAGCUCUCCCUGAUCUGGUUUGGUACCUACCUUACUGGGAGGGCAUAAACAGUUGUUGGUUGGUUGGAUGGUUUCAUAUCACAGUUCCAUGUCAUCUGUAAUGGUGUCCCACAAGGGCCAAUCAUAGGCCUGUUGUUAUUCACCAUAUACGGGUGUAUAUAAAGAAAAAGCUCACGGAAAUCAAACAUCCAGUAUCUAAAAAUAAUUGAUUAAAGAAUUUAUAAUACAGAAAUGUCAACCUUGUGGAAAGUGUGUUCAUUUAUGCACCGAUACUCGGUCGGGGUUUUAAUUCUUUUGUAUGAAUGACUGCGUGAACGCGGCGGGUCUUCUCAGGUCAACAUUUCUCUAUUAUAAAUUCUUUAUUCGAAUAUUUUGAGAAACUGGAUGCUUGAUUUCCAUGAGCCGUAAACCGUAAUCAUCGAGAUUAAAACAACAACAAACAAACAAACAAAAAAAAAACGGCUUGAAAUAUUUCACUUUAUGUGUACACGGUAUUUCAUUAUCUACAAUAUAUGAAAGUUCCACUUUUUAAAUAAACUUUCCCACGACGUUCAAAUUUUUUGAGAUGCACCUGUAUUUUAGCAAUGUAAUCAGACCCCUCCGAUUGUCCCUUUUAUGCUAAUGAUACAGUCACCUGGACUGACACUAGAUCACGCUGUCAACUACAGUCGAUUAGUAACUCCCUGCAGUCUUCUCAUUCACACAUGAAGAAAAGCCUAUCUUGUGAUUUGAUUGUAUUUCAUCAAUACAUUUCAGAUUUUCUUCAAUGAUUCCACUGUGUAUGUCGUAUUCUCUCUACUAGCCCUUUUACAGUGAUGUAUUUACGUGCAGUACCAUAAUGAACCAUACCACAUAUUUUGUACUGCAGUAUUUAAUGAUUGUAGACACAACUACACAGUUAAACCGCCAGUAUCUUGUCUGUGGGUGAUCUAAAUGAAUGUUCCUAUGGUAUUUCAUUAUAAAUGAGUUAUUUGAACCAAUGAUCCUGCAACUGAUGAUUUUUUUCUUCCCAAACUACAGUCAAGUCAUUACCAUAGUGCCUUGCUUUAAAAAAAAUUAAACAAACAAAACCUUAUAUAUAUAUAUACAC
Molecule: long non-coding RNA, 1901 nt
Organism: Ictalurus punctatus (channel catfish)
Lineage: Eukaryota; Metazoa; Chordata; Actinopteri; Siluriformes; Ictaluridae
Source: Ensembl